Molecule: long non-coding RNA, 226 nt
Filed under: Elaeis guineensis (African oil palm)
Lineage: Eukaryota; Viridiplantae; Streptophyta; Magnoliopsida; Arecales; Arecaceae
Description: long non-coding RNA (EGUI_LNC005735)
Source: RNAcentral
CCCGCAUCAUCGGCUUCUAGGUCAAGACCCAAAUCUUCCUGCAUCGACAACAUCAGAAUUGUGAGGGUUCAAUCUAGCUCGUCUGCUGUUUCAGCUUCUGAUGGGGGUCGAAAAAGCCAAACAAAUCAAGUCCUCAAAGAAAUAACUCAGAGCCUGUCAGAAAAAGCAAUUCUGAGCCUGCCGACCCCUCAAGUCGUCAACUUCUCUCCAUAAGAGGUACCAGCCG